UACGUAGGGUGCGAGCGUUGUUCGGAAUUACUGGGCGUAAAGCGCGUGUAGGCGGCUCGCUAAGUCUGGUGUGAAAUCCCUGGGCUCAACCCAGGAAUUGCAUCGGAAACUGGUGGGCUUGAGUUCGGGAGAGGGUAGCGGAAUUCCUGGUGUAGAGGUGAAAUUCGUAGAUAUCAGGAGGAACACCGGUGGCGAAGGCGGCUACCUGGACCGAGACUGACGCUGAGACGCGAAAGCGUGGGGAGCAAACAGGAUUAGAUACCCUGGUAGUCCACGCUGUAAACGAUGAGCGCUAGGUGUUGCGGGUAUUGACCCCUGCAGUGCCGCAGGUAACCCAUUAAGCGCUCCGCCUGGGGAGUACGGCCGCAAGGCUAAA
RNAcentral lists this ribosomal RNA (376 nucleotides) under uncultured bacterium. Its description in RNAcentral is "bacterial SSU rRNA". It matches the Rfam family "Bacterial small subunit ribosomal RNA", at positions 524 to 898 of the family's 1533-position model. The record is from RNAcentral.